GACGACGCUGGCGGCGUGCUUAACACAUGCAAGUCGAACGGACGAGUGAGAUAAGUUUACUUAACUCACAAGUUAGUGGCGGACGGGUGAGUAACACGUGGAUAAUCUACCUGCAACACCGGGAUAACGCUGUGAAAACGGUGCUAAUACCGGAUACGUUCCCUUGUGCGCAUGUAUGAGGGAAGAAAGCUCAGGCGGUUGCAGAUGAGUCCGCGGCUGAUUAGCUAGUUGGUGAGGUAAAGGCUCACCGAGGCGAUGAUCAGUAGCCGGCCUGAGAGGGUGAACGGCCACACUGGGACUGAGACACGGCCCAGACUCCUACGGGAGGCAGCAGUGGGGAAUCUUCCGCAAUGGGCGCAAGCCUGACGGAGCAACGCCGCGUGGGUGAAGAAGGCCUUCGGGUUGUAAAGCCCUGUCUUAUGGGAAGAAGUCAGUGACGGUACCAUAGGAGGAAGCCACGGCUAACUACGUG
Molecule: ribosomal RNA, 472 nt
Filed under: uncultured bacterium
Lineage: Bacteria
Description: bacterial SSU rRNA
Rfam family: Bacterial small subunit ribosomal RNA
Source: RNAcentral